ACCAGUGGCACAAGGGAUCAGCACACCUGGCUGUUAACUAGAAGAUUGGUGGUUCGAGUCCACCCAGGGGCG
Non-coding RNA from Podarcis lilfordi (Lilford's wall lizard), 72 nucleotides. NCBI's taxonomy places the organism in Eukaryota, Metazoa, Chordata, Lepidosauria, Squamata, Lacertidae. The record is from the annotation of a GenBank genome assembly.